RNAcentral lists this ribosomal RNA (348 nucleotides) under uncultured bacterium. RNAcentral describes it as "bacterial SSU rRNA". It matches the Rfam family "Bacterial small subunit ribosomal RNA", at positions 75 to 422 of the family's 1533-position model. The record is from RNAcentral.
UGGCUUCGGCUGCUCUGAAAGUGGCGAACGGGUGAGUAACACGUAGGUGACCUGCCUCGAAGUGGGGGAUAACCACUGGAAACGGUGGCUAAUACCGCAUGGUCCUGUUGGUGCGGGAGCACUGAUGGGUAAAGGGUUUACUGCUUCGAGAGGGGCCUGCGUCCGAUUAGUUAGUUGGUGAGGUAACGGCUCACCAAGACGAUGAUCGGUAGCUGGUCUGAGAGGAUGAUCAGUCACACGGGAACUGAGACACGGUCCCGACUCCUACGGGGGGCAGCAGUGAGGAAUAUUGCACAAUGGACGCAAGUCUGAUGCAGCAACGCCGCGUGGAGGAUGAAGGUCUUUGGA